UUUGCUGACGAGUGGCGGACGGGUGAGUAAUGUCUGGGAAACUGCCUGAUGGAGGGGGAUAACUACUGGAAACGGUGGCUAAUACCGCAUAACGUCGCAAGACCAAAGAGGGGGACCUUCGGGCCUCUUGCCAUCAGAUGUGCCCAGAUGGGAUUAGCUUGUUGGUGAGGUAACGGCUCACCAAGGCGACGAUCCCUAGCUGGUCUGAGAGGAUGACCAGCCACACUGGAACUGAGACACGGUCCAGACUCCUACGGGAGGCAGCAGUGGGGAAUAUUGCACAAUGGGCGCAAGCCUGAUGCAGCCAUGCCGCGUGUAUGAAGAAGGCCUUCGGGUUGUAAAGUACUUUCAGCGGGGAGGAAGGUGUUGUGGUUAAUAACCGCAGCAAUUGACGUUACCCGCAGAAGAAGCACCGGCUAACUCCGUGCCAGCAGCCGCGGUAAUACGGAGGGUGCAAGCGUUAAUCGGAAUUACUGGGCGUAAAGCGCACGCAGGCGGUCUGUCAAGUCGGAUGUGAAAUCCCCGGGCUCAACCUGGGAACUGCAUUCGAAACUGGCAGGCUUGAGUCUUGUAGAGGGGGGUAGAAUUCCAGGUGUAGCGGUGAAAUGCGUAGAGAUCUGGAGGAAUACCGGUGGCGAAGGCGGCCCCCUGGACAAAGACUGACGCUCAGGUGCGAAAGCGUGGGGAGCAAACAGGAUUAGAUACCCUGGUAGUCCACGCCGUAAACGAUGUCUACUUGGAGGUUGUGCCCUUGAGGCGUGGCUUCCGGAGCUAACGCGUUAAGUAGACCGCCUGGGGAGUACGGCCGCAAGGUUAAAACUCAAAUGAAUUGACGGGGGCCCGCACAAGCGGUGGAGCAUGUGGUUUAAUUCGAUGCAACGCGAAGAACCUUACCUGGUCUUGACAUCCACAGAAGAAUCCAGAGAUGGAUUUGUGCCUUCGGGAACUGUGAGACAGGUGCUGCAUGGCUGUCGUCAGCUCGUGUUGUGAAAUGUUGGGUUAAGUCCCGCAACGAGCGCAACCCUUAUCCUUUGUUGCCAGCGGUUAGGCCGGGAACUCAAAGGAGACUGCCAGUGAUAAACUGGAGGAAGGUGGGGAUGACGUCAAGUCAUCAUGGCCCUUACGACCAGGGCUACACACGUGCUACAAUGGCGCAUACAAAGAGAAGCGACCUCGCGAGAGCAAGCGGACCUCAUAAAGUGCGUCGUAGUCCGGAUUGGAGUCUGCAACUCGACUCCAUGAAGUCGGAAUCGCUAGUAAUCGUGGAUCAGAAUGCCACGGUGAAUACGUUCCCGGGCCUUGUACACACCGCCCGUCACACCAUGGGAGUGGGUUGCAAAAGAAGUAGGUAGCUUAACCUUCGGGAGGGCGCUUACCACUUUGUGAUUCAUGACUGGGGUGAAGUCGUAACAAGGUAACCGUAGGGGAACCUGCGGUUGGAUCACCUCCUUACCUUAAAGAA
Molecule: ribosomal RNA, 1462 nt
Filed under: Salmonella enterica subsp. enterica
Lineage: Bacteria; Pseudomonadati; Pseudomonadota; Gammaproteobacteria; Enterobacterales; Enterobacteriaceae
Also listed under: 1 other name
Description: partial 16S ribosomal RNA
Rfam family: Bacterial small subunit ribosomal RNA
Source: RNAcentral